CGAGAAUGACCUCCUAUUAUUGCAUCACAUUCCGAGCAAGAAUCUGUUCCUGCACAAGAAAAAUCUCUUGAGACCAUCGAUAACCAGCGACACAGCGACUGGUAGCAGUUAGCAGUGACACAGCGACUAGUAGUUAUUCGCAGCAUUAAGCAGUGAUUCGCAGCGAUCUGUAUUUCUCUUGUACUGUUGGACAUUACUAUCUGUGUUUUUCAGCUGGUUUUGCCUUAGAGUUUACAACCAAGACCUGAACUUCUAAAGGAGCUUCUGUGCCUCAAGACAGGUACAAUGUGAUUGAGGUACAAAGAAAGCAGCCAAGUUAUCUCAAGACAGGUACCCUAUGGUUGAAGUUGCAAGAGAGCCCCACACGAAUUUAUGGAGAUACUAGAGAUCCAGAUCCUUUCUGCCUCUGGAUGGAGCUCAAAUCUUCUUUAAUUCCAGACUGCUGGGACUACGGCUGCUCUUAACGCCAUACAGACUUCAUAUAAAUCCAUAAUGAACUCUUUCACAAUAUCUGUUGUUACCCAGAUGAGGAUGGGUUCCCUUCUGAGUCGGGUUCCUCUCAAGGUUUCUUCCUCUUAAAACAUCUUAGGGAGUUUUUCCUUGCCACCGUCGCCACUCAGUGGCUUGCUCAGUUGGGAUAAAUUCGCACCUUUAAUAUCUGUAUACCAUGUUGAUAUUUCUGUAGAGCUGCUUUGAGACAAUGUCUAUUGUAAAAAGCGCUAUACAAAUAAAAUUGAAUUGAAUUGAAAAA
Long non-coding RNA from Ictalurus punctatus (channel catfish), 751 nucleotides. NCBI's taxonomy places the organism in Eukaryota, Metazoa, Chordata, Actinopteri, Siluriformes, Ictaluridae. The record is from Ensembl.